CAAUAGCGUAUAUUAAAGCUGUUGCGGUUAAAAAGCUCGUAGUUGGAUUUCUGUCAAGGACAACUGGUCCGCCCUCCGGGUGAGCACAUAGUUUGGUCUUGGCAUCUUGCUGGAAACUGUUGCUGCGCUUGGUUGUGUGGUGCAGCCUUCAGCACUUUCACUUUGAGGAAAUUGGAGUGUUUCAAGCAGGCACAUGCCUUUGGACACAGUAGCAUGGAAUAAUUAGAUUGGGCUUUUGCUCCAACUUGUUGGUUCCUGGAGCUGAGGUGAGAAUCAAUGGGGAUUGUUGGGGGCAUCCGAAUUUAGCCGUCAGAGGUGAAAUUCUUGGAUCUGCUAAAGACGGACAACUGCGAAAGCGUUUGCCCAGGAUGUUUUCAUUGA
RNAcentral lists this ribosomal RNA (381 nucleotides) under uncultured eukaryote. Its description in RNAcentral is "partial 18S ribosomal RNA". It matches the Rfam family "Eukaryotic small subunit ribosomal RNA", at positions 592 to 976 of the family's 1831-position model. The record is from RNAcentral.